UUGCACCUUGGUGCAGUCAGUAAGACCGUCCCAACUUCAUAUACAUAUAUAUGUACUUAUGUACUUCAUGCAUUACUGCUAGUCCCCAUGGAUAAUAAAUA
RNAcentral lists this non-coding RNA (101 nucleotides) under Nomascus leucogenys (northern white-cheeked gibbon). RNAcentral's name for it is "Mitochondrial DNA control region secondary structure A". It matches the Rfam family "Mitochondrial DNA control region secondary structure A". The record is from Rfam by way of RNAcentral. Lineage: Eukaryota; Metazoa; Chordata; Mammalia; Primates; Hylobatidae.